AACGAACGCUGGCGGCAUGCCUAACACAUGCAAGUCGAACGAGAUCUUCGGGUCUAGUGGCGCACGGGUGCGUAGCGCGUGGGAAUCUGCCCUUUGGUUCGGAAUAACAGUUGGAAACGACUGCUAAUACCGGAUGAUGACGAAAGUCCAAAGAUUUAUCGCCAGAGGAUGAGCCCGCGUAGGAUUAGCUGGUUGGUGGGGUAAAGGCGCACCAAGGCGACGAUCCUUAGCUGGUCUGAGAGGAUGAUCAGCCACACUGGGACUGAGACACGGCCCAGACUCCUACGGGAGGCAGCAGUGGGGAAUAUUGGACAAUGGGCGAAAGCCUGAUCCAGCAAUGCCGCGUGAGUGAUGAAGGCCUUAGGGUUGUAAAGCUCUUUUACCCGGGAUGAUAAUGACAGUACCGGGAGAAUAAGCUCCGGCUAACUCCGUGCCAGCCGCCGCCGUAA
RNAcentral lists this ribosomal RNA (449 nucleotides) under uncultured bacterium. RNAcentral's name for it is "partial 16S ribosomal RNA". It matches the Rfam family "Bacterial small subunit ribosomal RNA", at positions 29 to 523 of the family's 1533-position model. The record is from RNAcentral.